CUCAGGCUCCUCUCUGCAGCACUUCCCCGGGAAGUUGUACAUAUUUUUACGGAGCUGGUUCGCCACCCGGAUCACAGCCGCGGUCCUAGCGGUAAUUGACUGCUCUCUAAUCAAAUUGAUUUCCAUUCCAAUGAGUCCCGCCGUCCUCUCCAUUCCAGGAACGCUGUUCUAGCAGGCGGAGCUCAGUACAAAUGCACCAUCAAACUGCAGAACGCAGAGCGCACCGCGGUCCUCUCUGCCACGCAGUGACAGCUAAAUGGCCUGAGGGCUUAGGCCUAGCCACUCACUGAUGCAUUCCCACUGGGGAGAGGCACACACCCCGGGCUCAUCUGCAUCUGACAGGAGGACUUGGUGCAUAUUCGGAGUGGGUCAGAGUGAUGGGAUUUCUUUCCCAUCGAGUCCCACUGGAGCCUCGCCUGUCCCCACUCUGCUGGGGCUGGCCCGGCCAUUGCCUUCCGUUUCCUGCAGUCCCGGCUUCUCCUCUUGGCUGUGGCCCAGCAUGGAGCUGGCUGGUUCUUCCUCCUGCACACUCCAACCUGGGACUGAAGGCCCCCUGGAGUUUCCACAUGGGCUGACCCCAGAGUCAGCUCUGUCUAGGCUGUUUCUGGGUCUGCUUGGACCACUGCCUCGGGGGCACAAGAAGGAAGGGGGUGGUCCUGAGGCUGUGAUUGUCCAGGGCCCUGUGGUUCCUGGCAUCUGUGUGGAGGGACAGACCCAAAUCCCAUCAGGGCUGGCAGGGACAUUCAUACUCAGCCUACUUCAGGUGGGCGAGGAGAGGGGUGGCCUGCCCAAGGCCCCAGGACCCCUGCUGCCCAGCUCCUGGCCUGGCCCCACCACCUGCACCCUCAGGUGGUACUCCCAGAAGCUGGAGCAACUUAGGGGGGUGCCUUGUGCAGAUGGGGGACCUCCUGGGACUAUCCAGGCCUUCCUGGGUGACCACGCCUGUGGGUGGAGUGAUGGGGUCUCCAGGUGUCUUUUCCUCUGUCCCAUCAGAGGGAGCCUGAGUUUUAAAACCAAUGCAGCACUCCCUCAAAGCUUCACGACUGACCACAGUGGCUCCCAAGCCAGGGACUCUGAUGGGAGGUGACCCCCAUUCCUCCUCCCCUGGGUGGGAGAAGCUGGAGCCCGGUGGGG
This 1134-nucleotide long non-coding RNA is filed under the name Piliocolobus tephrosceles (Ugandan red Colobus). RNAcentral describes it as "lncRNA (ENSPTEG00000026721.1)". The record is from RNAcentral. Lineage: Eukaryota; Metazoa; Chordata; Mammalia; Primates; Cercopithecidae.